Molecule: ribosomal RNA, 484 nt
Filed under: uncultured bacterium
Lineage: Bacteria
Description: partial 16S ribosomal RNA
Rfam family: Bacterial small subunit ribosomal RNA
Source: RNAcentral
AUUGAACGCUGGCGGCAUGCUUUACACAUGCAAGUCGAACGGCAGCGCGGGCUUCGGCCUGGCGGCGAGUGGCGAACGGGUGAGUAAUACAUCGGAACGUGCCCCGUAGUGGGGGAUAGCUCGGCGAAAGCCGGAUUAAUACCGCAUACGACCUGAGGGUGAAAGCGGGGGAUCUUCGGACCUCGCGCUAUUGGAGCGGCCGAUGGCAGAUUAGCUAGUUGGUGGGGUAAAGGCCUACCAAGGCGGCGAUCUGUAGCUGGUCUGAGAGGACGACCAGCCACACUGGGACUGGGACACGGCCCAGACUCCUACGGGAGGCAGCAGUGGGGAAUGUUGGACAAUGGGCGAAAGCCUGAUCCAGCAAUGCCGCGUGUGUGAUGAAGGCCUUCGGGUUGUAAAGCACUUUUGGCGGGAACGAAAAGGACUGUGCCAAUACCACGGUUCGAUGACGGUACCCGCAGAAUAAGCACCGGCUAACUACGUG